AUGGAGCGACUGAAAUCGGCGGUGCCGGCCGAUAUCCGGCGAGCCGUCGGCGAGGGCACGACCCGCGACCUCCCUUCCACCACCUCUCUCCUUCUCGCCUUCCUCGACGACCUCCCUCUAUUCCACCAGGUCAUCGGCGAGCUGGCCGACCCGGAGCUCGCGCUGUGCCGCAAGGACAAGGGGAGGGCAGCGGAGCUGAAGGGCCGGGGCAAUGCCUGCUUCUCCAGGAGGGAGUUCGAGCAAGCCCUUGGGUUCUAUUCACAGGCGCUGCGUUACGCACCGAUUAGUUCUGAUGGCACUGGUGAUAUCUUGGUACCUGCAUUAUAUGUCAACCGUGCCUCCACUAUGCAUAAAUUGGGCCUCCUGGAAGAGUGUCUGCGGGAUUGCGACAGGGCCAUCUCUGUUUCACCUAAUUAUGCGAAGGCAUGGUACAGGAGGGGAAUGGUAAAUGCAUCGUUGAAGAAUUAUUCAUCUGCCAUGCAUGAUCUAGAGGUUGCAUUGAGCAUGGAAGUAACUUCUUCUGGGAAGAGCAACAUAGAACAAGAGUUGAAGUUGAUAUUGUUAAAGCCUCAAUGUGUGAACAAAGUUGGAAGAUCAAGCAGUGAUUGCAAGGAUGCAGGAUUGGCACAUACAGCAGAUGCACAUAAGGUUGUCCUUGAGUGUAUUGCAACGCCCAACAAAGGUAGAGGAAUGACAUCUCCAGAUGAUAUUCCUCCGACCUCCUUGAUUCAUGUUGAGGAUCCUCUUGCUGCGAUUAUCCUGAAAUCUUGCCGGGAGACUCACUGCCAUUAUUGCUUUAGUGAAGCACCUGCAGAUGUUGUGUUCUGUCCCUUGUGUACAAUACCAGUUUAUUGUUCAAGAAAGUGCCAAGAGCAAGCUGUAGGCGGAAUCUCUUGGAAUCAAGACACUUAUCUUGAAUCUAACAGUAAUGCAGUUGAUCUUGGAAUACUGAGCCUAACUUCUACAAGGUGCAAGGCUACAGACUCUAAACAAAUUGCUGAACAUAGGCACGAAUGUGGAGGUGCCCAUUGGGCAGCUGUUUUGCCAGCUGAUAUAGUUUUAGCUGGGCGACUAAUGGCACAAUACAUAGACAGCAGAAUGCUGACUGGAAAGAGCUCUGCCAUCUCUGGUCCAAAAAUGGAUCUCAUUCAGCACUAUGAUGUAGAUUCUCCUACUAGCAAGUUGGAAUCACAUAUAUAUGCGAUUGUCUUGUUAUCAUGCCUCCAAAAGCAUUAUAAAUCAGAUCUUUCGUGGAAAGAGGAAACUUUAGCUCAGAUGGUUCUUUUGAUAUGUCAAGUUAAAGUCAAUUCAAUUGCUAUUGUUUGUAUGAAAUCCAUGGAUGGAAGCCAGGGACUGACAGAGAAUAAAGGGUAUUCUGCAGCUGAUGAUGGAGUUAUGUGUAGUGUGGAGCAGGUCAAGGUUGCUCAAGCUAUCUACAUGUCUGGUAGCCUCUUUAAUCACUCGUGCCGGCCAAAUGUACAUUCAUAUUUUCAUUCGCGCACUCUCUUUCUAAGAUCUACCACAUAUAUAAAAUCAGGGAGCCCAGUCGAGCUAUCAUAUGGUCCACAGGCUGGUGAGAUGAAUCUUGUGAAAAGACAAAAGUCACUUCAGGAGAAUUACAAAUUUAGUUGCCAGUGUUCAAGUUGUUCAGAGCUACAUCUAUCGGACCUUGUCAUUGAUUCAUUUUGUUGUCCACAAAGUAGCUGUCUUGGUGCCGUGUCAGAAUCAACUUGCUACAAAUCCGAAGAGAAUUGUGUGCACGUUUCCAUAGAUGAAUCUGAUAUCUGCAAACUAUCAUUGCCUCAUGUUUCCAAGGUUGAUGAAGAUAUAGAGAAGGUUGGGAAAUUGUUUUUCAGAAAUAAUGCUGAUUUGAAGAUUGAUCCUGGAUAUUGCAUGAGCUGUAGAUCACAAAUUAACCUGUCUUCUGCUGUUGCUACAUCAGAGAAGGCAGCGUCAAAGAUCAAUAGGUUUAAGGAACUUGCAGUUAUAGACGGAAUCUCCGAAAUUCCCAUCACAGAUGCAUUACAAUCCCUACAACAGAUAAAGAAGUUGAGGCACCCAUAUAGCAAGGCUCUUGCCCAGGCAGAAGAUGCGAUUGCAGAAGCCUUUGCAAAGAUAGGAGAUCAAGAACAAGCAAGAAAGCACUGCGAAGCAUCAAUUAUGAUCCUCAAGAAGCUGUACCACCCCAAACACAUAGCCAUUGCACAUGAGCUGAUCAAGCUUGUUUCCAUCGAGCUGUCUCUGGGGGACAGGGCAAGUGCAGCAGCUACAUUCGCCCAGGCAAAGGCGAUAUUCUCGCUUUAUUAUGGACCUGAUGUUGAGAGGAUUUUACCCUAUGUUGAUGCCCUGAAAAGAACUGUUAGUGGAGGGUUCAUCGGAGCACCUUGA
RNAcentral lists this ribosomal RNA (2388 nucleotides) under Triticum aestivum (bread wheat). RNAcentral's name for it is "partial small subunit ribosomal RNA". The record is from RNAcentral. Lineage: Eukaryota; Viridiplantae; Streptophyta; Magnoliopsida; Poales; Poaceae.